This 465-nucleotide ribosomal RNA is filed under the name uncultured bacterium. RNAcentral's name for it is "partial 16S ribosomal RNA". It matches the Rfam family "Bacterial small subunit ribosomal RNA", at positions 339 to 795 of the family's 1533-position model. The record is from RNAcentral.
CUACGGGGUGCUGCAGUGAGGAAUUUUGCGCAAUGGGGGGAACCCUGACGCAGCAACGCCGCGUGAGUGAAGAAGGCCUUUGGGUCGUAAAGCUCUGUCAACAAGGAAGAAGUUACGACAGAUUAAUAAGCUGUUGUAUUGACGGUACUUGUGGAGGAAGCGCCGGCUAACUCCGUGCCAGCAGCCGCGGUAACACGGGGGGCGCAAGCGUUAUUCGGAAUUAUUGGGCGUAAAGGGCGCGUAGGCGGCCUUGUCAGUCAGAUGUGAAAGCCCGGGGCUCAGCCCCGGACGUGCAUUUGAAACAGCAAGGCUUGAGUACGGGAGAGGAAAGCAGAAUUCCUGGUGUAGAGGUGAAAUUCGUAGAUAUCAGGAGGAACACCGAUGGCGAAGGCAGCUUUCUGGACCGAUACUGACGCUGAUGCGCGAAGGCGUGGGUAGCGAACAGGAUUAGAUACCCUUGUAGUC